Molecule: ribosomal RNA, 451 nt
Filed under: uncultured bacterium
Lineage: Bacteria
Description: partial 16S ribosomal RNA
Rfam family: Bacterial small subunit ribosomal RNA
Source: RNAcentral
AGCGAACGCUGGCGGCAGGCUUAACACAUGCAAGUCGAGCGGGCGUAGCAAUACGUCAGCGGCAGACGGGUGAGUAACGCGUGGGAACGUACCUUUUGGUUCGGAACAACACAGGGAAACUUGUGCUAAUACCGGAUAAGCCCUUAAGGGGAAAGAUUUAUCGCCGAAAGAUCGGCCCGCGUCUGAUUAGUUAGUUGGUAGGGUAAUGGCCUACCAAGGCGACGAUCAGUAGCUGGUCUGAGAGGAUGAUCAGCCACAUUGGGACUGAGACACGGCCCAAACUCCUGCGGGAGGCAGCAGUGGGGAAUAUUGGACAGUGGGGGCAACCCUGAUCCAGCCAUGCCGCGUGAGUGAUGAAGGCCCUAGGGUUGUAAAGCUCUUUUGUGCGGGAAGAUAAUGACGGUACCGCAAGAAUAAGCCCCGGCUAACUUCGUGCCAGCAGCCGCGGUAA